GCCUCGUGAAUUCAUCUCCGGGGGUAGAGCACUGUUUCGGCUAGGGGGCCAUCCCGGCUUACCAACCCGAUGCAAACUGCGAAUACCGGAGAAUGUUAUCACGGGAGACACACGGCGGGUGCUAACGUCCGUCGUGAAGAGGGAAACAACCCAGACCGCCAGCUAAGGUCCCAAAGUCAUGGUUAAGUGGGAAACGAUGUGGGAAGGCCCAGACAGCCAGGAUGUUGGCUUAGAAGCAGCCAUCAUUUAAAGAAAGCGUAAUAGCUCACUGGUCGAGUCGGCCUGCGCGGAAGAUGUAACGGGGCUAAACCAUGCACCGAAGCUGCGGCAGCGAACGUAUCACUUAAAGCGAUUCAGCGGGUUACGAUUGACGGAGCGAAGCGACGUCAAAGCGUAUACAAAGUCGAGUCGGUUUAAGGAUACGUUCGUUGGGUAGGGGAGCGUUCUGUAAGCCUGUGAAGGUGUGUCGUGAGGCAUGCUGGAGGUAUCAGAAGUGCGAAUGCUGACAUAAGUAACGAUAAAGCGGGUGAAAAGCCCGCUCGCCGGAAGACCAAGGGUUCCUGUCCAACGUUAAUCGGGGCAGGGUGAGUCGACCCCUAAGGCGAGGCCGAAAGGCGUAGUCGAUGGGAAACGGGUUAAUAUUCCCGUACUUGGUGUUACUGCGAAGGGGGGACGGAGAAGGCUAUGUUGGCCGGGCGACGG
This 702-nucleotide ribosomal RNA is filed under the name Salmonella enterica subsp. enterica serovar Kottbus. RNAcentral describes it as "partial 23S ribosomal RNA". It matches the Rfam family "Bacterial large subunit ribosomal RNA", at positions 879 to 1501 of the family's 2925-position model. Lineage: Bacteria; Pseudomonadati; Pseudomonadota; Gammaproteobacteria; Enterobacterales; Enterobacteriaceae. The record is from RNAcentral.